Molecule: long non-coding RNA, 831 nt
Organism: Rhinichthys klamathensis goyatoka
Lineage: Eukaryota; Metazoa; Chordata; Actinopteri; Cypriniformes; Leuciscidae
Exons: 2
Source: RefSeq, a predicted model, not a curated record
AGGAAGUAAGCUUGUGUGUGAGUUUGAUUAAUAAGGAAGUAAGCUUGUGUGUGAGUCUGCAGGGAAGUUGCCCAUUGUCGGCGUGGGAGGAGUGGCCAGCGGACGGGACGCGCUUGAUAAGAUCCUCGCGGGAGCGUCUCUCGUGCAGCUCUACACGGCUCUCGUGUACCAGGGUCCGCCGGUGGUCAACAGAAUCAAGAGAGAGCUGGACGACCUGUUGAAGGCACAAGGUUUUGCGUGUGUAGCAGAGGCAGUGGGUGCGGAUCAUCGAGCCACACCUGAACAACCACAGACCCACAACGAAUGAUCACAUGAUCAUAAUGCCUAACAUUCUGCGUUUACCACUGCGCAUUAAUGCCACAUUAUCCUGUACAUUACAUUAAUUUACAAAACUGGAACCACUCUGGAUUGUGUUUUAGAAAUGAUGUGCCUUGUCGGUGUUAUAAAUGUAAAAAUGUCACCAUUAUGUUAAAGGAAUAUAUGAAUUUGAAUAAAUGCUCACGAUUUGUAACAGUGAAGGUAAUGUUAACCGUUUAAAUCACGUAAUGCAUUAUAUUUCAUUACAUUUCUGAACAUUGUUGAUGAACAUCAUUUCCAAAGGAUGAGGCUUAUGCUGUUUGCUAUAUCUCUCUUAUUUCUAGACAUUGAAUCCAUCAUACGAACUCAGUCAGUUUCUGUGACUAACAUAAUUUUUUUAUCUGAAACUUUUCUAUAUUUAACUGUAAAUUGAAGAAGCCAUUCAAACUUUAAAGGUGCAGUGAUUUAUUCCUUGUGAUGGAGAUUCAAGUCAUAUCACUCUUCGUAAAAAAUAAAAAUGGAAUUUCAACAAUG